CCUACGGGAGGCAGCAGUAGGGAAUAUUGGGCAAUGGGCGCAAGCCUGACCCAGCGACGCCGCGUGCGGGAUGAAGGCCUUCGGGUUGUAAACCGCUUUCAGUAGGGAAGAAGCGAAAGUGACGGUACCUACAAAAGAAGCACCGGCUAACUAUGUGCCAGCAGCCGCGGUAAUACAUAGGGUGCAAGCGUUGUCCGGAGUUAUUGGGCGUAAAGAGCUCGUAGGUCGUUUGUUACGUCGGAUGUGAAAACCUGAGGCUCAACCUCAGGCCUGCAUUCGAUACGGGCAAACUAGAGUUUGGUAGGGGAGACUGGAAUUCCUGGUGUGGCGGUGGAAUGCGCAGAUAUCAGGAGGAACACCAAUGGCGAAGGCAGGUCUCUGGGCCAAUACUGACACUGAGGAGCGAAAGCGUGGGGAGCGAACAGGAUUAGAUACCCUGGUAGUCCACGCCGUAAACGAUGGGCGCUAGUUGUGCGAACCUUCCACGGUUUGUGCGACGCAGCUAACGCAUUAAGCGCCCCGCCUGGGGAGUACGAUCGCAAGAUUAAAACUCAAAGGAAUUGACGG
RNAcentral lists this ribosomal RNA (567 nucleotides) under uncultured Actinomycetes bacterium. RNAcentral's name for it is "bacterial SSU rRNA". It matches the Rfam family "Bacterial small subunit ribosomal RNA", at positions 338 to 916 of the family's 1533-position model. Lineage: Bacteria; Bacillati; Actinomycetota; Actinomycetes. The record is from RNAcentral.